This 88-nucleotide signal recognition particle RNA is filed under the name Hankyongella ginsenosidimutans. RNAcentral's name for it is "Bacterial small signal recognition particle RNA". It matches the Rfam family "Bacterial small signal recognition particle RNA". From Rfam's summary of the family: The signal recognition particle (SRP) is a universally conserved ribonucleoprotein involved in the co-translational targeting of proteins to membranes. Archaeal SRP consists of a 7S RNA and homologues of the eukaryotic SRP19 and SRP54 proteins. In most bacteria, the SRP consists of a 4.5S RNA and the Ffh protein (a homologue of the eukaryotic SRP54 protein). RNAcentral also lists the same sequence under 1 other name. The record is from Rfam by way of RNAcentral. Lineage: Bacteria; Pseudomonadati; Pseudomonadota; Alphaproteobacteria; Sphingomonadales; Sphingomonadaceae.
AGUCGGGCCGGGCAGGUACCUCGCCAACCCGGUCAGGUCCGGAAGGAAGCAGCCGUAACGAAUUCGUCCUGGGUCGCGCCCGGCUCCC